Molecule: non-coding RNA, 512 nt
Organism: Oryctolagus cuniculus (rabbit)
Lineage: Eukaryota; Metazoa; Chordata; Mammalia; Lagomorpha; Leporidae
Source: RefSeq, a predicted model, not a curated record
GAUAGUCUCCUGAGCUCUACCUCAUGUUGUCACGGAGACGUGUCCCUCACCUUUCAUCCUACUUGACUGGACUUUGCCAGCGCUUGUGACCUGACAGGUCUAGGUGGUUGUGGUCUAAUCCAGUACUGACGCCUGGACCGUCUGGAGAGGCCUGACUCAUGACAUAGCUAGCUGGCCACCAGUAGAUGAUGCAUUACGAAAACACUGCCGGAUACUCUAAGCAGGGUUGGCUGGAGACCAGGGAGAGGUAGGAGAGUGGACUCCUCAUUGACAGAUUUUUCUAAUCCUCAUAUUAGAAAGGAAAGCAGUAGAAGAUGACCCAUAUCCGUGGGCCCCUGCACCCAGGUGGGAAGACCCAGAGGAAGCUCCUGGCUCCUGGCUUUGGAUCAGUGCAGCUCCGUCUUUUGCAGCCUGUUGGGGAGCGCACCACCGAAUGGAAGACCUCUCGUUCUCUCUGCCUCUCCUCUCUCUGUAUAACUCUGACUUUGAAAUAAAUAAAAAUAAAUCUUAAA